RNAcentral lists this transfer RNA (77 nucleotides) under Caudoviricetes sp. Its description in RNAcentral is "tRNA-Arg". It matches the Rfam family "tRNA". Rfam says of the family: Transfer RNA (tRNA) molecules are approximately 80 nucleotides in length. Their secondary structure includes four short double-helical elements and three loops (D, anti-codon, and T loops). The record is from RNAcentral. Lineage: Duplodnaviria; Heunggongvirae; Uroviricota; Caudoviricetes.
GCCCCGUUAGUUGAAUUGGAUACAACAGCUGCCUUCUAAGCAGUAGGUUACAGGUUCGAGUCCUGUACGGGGUGCCA